UACGUAGGGGGCGAGCGUUGUCCGGAUUUAUUGGGCGUAAAGGGCCCGCAGGCGGUCCAUUAAGUUCAGGGUGACAGUCAUCAGCUUAACUGAUGAAGUGCCUUGAAAACUGGUGGACUUGAGAGCGAGAGAGGGACACGGAACUCCGGGUGGAGUGGUGAAAUGCGUAGAGAUCCGGAAGAACACCAAAGGCGAAGGCAGUGUCCUGGCUCGUUUCUGACGCUCAGGGGCGAAAGCGAGGGGAGCGAACGGG
RNAcentral lists this ribosomal RNA (253 nucleotides) under uncultured bacterium. Its description in RNAcentral is "partial 16S ribosomal RNA". It matches the Rfam family "Bacterial small subunit ribosomal RNA", at positions 524 to 776 of the family's 1533-position model. The record is from RNAcentral.